GGAAUAUUGGUCAAUGGGCGCGAGCCUGAACCAGCCAAGUAGCGUGAGGGAAGACUGCCCUAUGGGUUGUAAACCUCUUUUGUUUGGGAAUAAAGUGUCCUACGAGUAGGAUUUUGUAUGUACCUUACGAAUAAGCAUCGGCUAAUUCCGUGCCAGCAGCCGCGGUAAUACGGAAGAUGCGAGCGUUAUCCGGAUUUAUUGGGUUUAAAGGGAGCGUAGGCGGCCCGUUAAGUCAGCGGUUAAAUGUCAUGGCCCAACCUUGGCAUGCCGUUGAUACUGGUGGGCUUGAAUACACACAAGGAUGGUGGAAUUCGUUGUGUAGCGGUGAAAUGCUUAGAUAUGACGAAGAACUCCGAUUGCGAAGGCAGCCAUCUGGGGUGCGAUUGACGCUGAGGCUCGAAAGUGCGGGAAUCAAACA
RNAcentral lists this ribosomal RNA (418 nucleotides) under uncultured bacterium. Its description in RNAcentral is "bacterial SSU rRNA". It matches the Rfam family "Bacterial small subunit ribosomal RNA", at positions 358 to 774 of the family's 1533-position model. The record is from RNAcentral.